UCGAGUCCAGAGGUGAGAACCGAGGGGUGAGUGGCUGUCGCCGUUGCUCCGGCGAGCUCUGGUGGCGGCGGAUUUCUGGCGUGAAAAGUGAGAGAGAGAGUGAGAUGGAUUGAGGAACCGUGAGAGAGAGAUUUGAGAGUGAAGGUGGAGUCAGCGUGGGGUGAAGAAGAAGAAAAGAAGGUGUUGGGCUAGGUUUUGAGUUUUGGGCCGAGUUAGUUGGGCUGUUGGGCUUCUGUGUGGGCCGGUUUUUAAUUUAUUUAUCAGUAGGGUUUUUAAUUUAUUUAUCACUUGGGCCCUUUUUAUUUAAAAAAAAAUGUUGGGCCUUAAUUCAGUUAUUUAAAAGAUGGGCCCUAUUAUUGUUUAAUUAACUUGGGCUGUGCAGAUUUUCAUUUAAGGGACUCUACCAUUUUAUUUAAUUAGACUAUCAUAUUAGUUUG
Molecule: long non-coding RNA, 437 nt
Filed under: Salvia miltiorrhiza (redroot sage)
Lineage: Eukaryota; Viridiplantae; Streptophyta; Magnoliopsida; Lamiales; Lamiaceae
Description: long non-coding RNA (SMIL_LNC000969)
Source: RNAcentral